UACGUAGGUGGCAAGCGUUGUCCGGAAUUACUGGGCGUAAAGCGUGCGCAGGCGGUUGUGCAAGACAGAUGUGAAAUCCCCGGGCUUAACCUGGGAAUUGCAUUUGUGACUGCACGGCUAGAGUGUGUCAGAGGGGGGUAGAAUUCCACGUGUAGCAGUGAAAUGCGUAGAGAUGUGGAGGAAUACCGAUGGCGAAGGCAGCCCCCUGGGAUAACACUGACGCUCAUGCACGAAAGCGUGGGGAGCAAACAGG
RNAcentral lists this ribosomal RNA (253 nucleotides) under uncultured bacterium. Its description in RNAcentral is "partial 16S ribosomal RNA". It matches the Rfam family "Bacterial small subunit ribosomal RNA", at positions 524 to 776 of the family's 1533-position model. The record is from RNAcentral.